GUCGAGAAUCUUCCGCAAUGCGCGAAAGCGUGACGGAGCGACACCGCGUGAUGGAUGAAGUCCUUCGGGGCGUAAACAUCUUUUAUAAAGGAAGAAAUUUUUGACGUUACUUUAUGAAUAAGGGGCUCCCAAUCUCGUGACAGCAGGAGCGGUAAUACGAGAGCCUCAAGCGUUAUCCGGAAUCAUUGGGCGUAAAGGGUGCGUAGGUGGUUUGAUUAGUCUCCCGUUAAAACUUCGAGCUUAACUCGAAAAGAGCGGGGGAAACGGUCAAGCUAGAUUAUGUGAGAGGUGUGUGGAACUCAUGGUGUAGGGGUGAAAUCCGUUGAUAUCAUGGGGAACACCAAAAGCGAAGGCAGCACACUGGCACAUCACUGACACUGAGGCACGAAACCUAAGGUAGCGAAUGGGAUUAGAUACCCUUGUAGUCC
This 428-nucleotide ribosomal RNA is filed under the name uncultured bacterium. RNAcentral's name for it is "partial 16S ribosomal RNA". It matches the Rfam family "Bacterial small subunit ribosomal RNA", at positions 354 to 796 of the family's 1533-position model. The record is from RNAcentral.